Molecule: long non-coding RNA, 8651 nt
Organism: Mus musculus (house mouse)
Lineage: Eukaryota; Metazoa; Chordata; Mammalia; Rodentia; Muridae
Product: predicted gene, 33319
Exons: 4
Source: RefSeq, a predicted model, not a curated record
AAAUCUGUGACAGUCACCAUGCUGCUCAGGGAGGUGACAUGGCUGCAGUCCUGCAACAAGAACAAAGGAAAUAUGGGUAAGGCAUGGAAAACUCCUUUUUGAAAGAACACAUACUUUACAUAGUAUACUAAAAGAGAGACUCAUGUGACCCAGGCUAGACCACAUAACCUAGGUAGCCCAGGAGGAUCCUGAACUCAUUCUCCUGCCACUGGCUACCAGUGCUGGGUUAUGGGCAAGCACCAGGACAGAUUUUAGGAGUGCUAGGAACUGACCCAGGGCCUUGGGCUUGAAACAGGAGCAUUCUCCCAAACGAGCCACGUCCCCACACAUCAGCCUCUGGCGUAAGAAACUCACUGAAGGCCGAUAGCUCUCAGCCUAUAGGUGAGAUCAGGAUGUCAUCAGCAGCCAUGGGAAUGGAUCUGGGACCCACCACUCCCACCCAAUUCUCCUCAUGGUCUUAGUCAGUGUCUCCCCAUUAUCAUUGCACAUACUUUCCAGAGUCACUUGUGAUACAGUAACUGGUCCUGUGAAAAGGGACCAGUAACUUCACUGCAGUGUUGGAGUCAUCUGGUGAAAGUGACCUUACAGUCCUUGAGGGGAUGCCCACAUUUGACAGGCAAAGUUGUAAGGAUUUAGCCAUCUGACACAGAAUGGCUAGGUAGCCUUGACUGUCCUUAAACUGGUGAUCCUCCUGCAGCAACUCCCAAGUGUUGGCAUUACAGAUGUGUUUCAUCAUGGCCAAGUUUGGAAAGUUCCUUACAUUGGGAAUAUUGGCACUGGUAUUCCAGGUUAUGUGUGUGUAUGUGUGUAUGUGUGUGUCAGACUCUCUAUUUCAACAUCGUGGUACCUAAAACAUUAUUAUAAUCCAAACCAGAGCUAGGUGUUUUGAACAGCUUUGUUGGAAAGGUCUUCCCCACGUGCAGCUGAGACCCUUAUUUGCAUUUGAUGCCUGAGGCUGCACAAUGGGGCUGGAGAGACACAGUGUGUAACAGCAUCCAUUGCUCUUUAGGGGAAGCAGGCGCUGCACAGUCGCUUGACUCCAGAUCCAGGGCAUCUGAUCAUCUCUUCUAACCACAACAGGCACUGAACCCAUGUGCACAAAUCCACACACACAUAGAAAUAAGGUGAAAUCAUCUGAUUUUAAAAGACUACACAAUGAAGUUACAGAAAUAAACAAAAAUAAUGAAUUAUAUAAAUGUUUUACAGAAGAAAGCAGAGAUAUUAUUAGGUCUCACUUUAUUGUUAGGAUCAGCAAUAUGAUGCACAGUAUAAAUAUACACACAUUUAUUAUGAUACAUAUAAAAUAUCAUUUCUUUGAUGUAUUAUGUUCAUUGGCUUGAGUAUACUGAAAUUGGAUCUCUGGAAUGAAUUUAUCUUCAGCAUAUGGAAUUACUGUUUUGUCAAAUCCAUUUGAUAGUGUUCUGUGAUCAAUUUUUAUUUUCAGUCCAUCAAAAAAGUCUGAAUUUUCUUGGGUCAUUUUAGGAUGAGCAUGUCCUCAAAUUAACUUUGUGUGUUCUGGAAGACUUGAUGUAAAAGAUCCAUUUGGGUUUUUCCAUUACUGAUAGACUCGAGCCAUAUUUGCAUAUUAUAUUGUGCCUCUUUCUUCUUGGGGCCACGUACUGUUUUCUAUAUUUUUCAAAGAGCUAUUCCAUGAAUUAAUGUCAAUUUGGAAUGUGCCUAAUUUGUGUUUACAGUCUCUUCAAUUUAAGCAAACUUUGUUCGGUUCACAUAUGCCUCUUACAUUUCUAAUUAGUAAUAUAUAUUGAUCAGUUCUUCAUUAUGGUUGAGUUUUCAUGAUUAUAAACACAUGUGGAUUGAAAUAUGACUGUCACUCAAAGUUUAACUAAUAGCCACCUGCCCAUUCAUUCACUCAUUUUUAAGAAAAUAAUUCUUGAGUUUUCCUUCAGCUUAUGCAAUGAACAUUAUCAUGAGUGGCUGUGAGGUACUUUCAGAAAUUACACACUAAGUAAAAGGUCUUUAUUAGUGGUCUUUAUUAAUCUACCCUGGGACUUAAUCUACUACUCUGACUUCAGAUGCCCUGUCCUUUAGUUCCACAAUAGGUAAAUUCAGAGAUAUCCUAGGAGACACCGACCCUCUGCUCAAUGCUGUGGAAAUCUUGCCCUCUGUUGUUCUCUGUGGUGUUUACUAGAACAUAAAACCGCGCUGUACAUGUAAGCAUUUACAUCUCUGCCCCAGGAGGGGAAGGUUUCCCCAUGGAAAAUGGUACAGCUGGCAGUCAGGAGCCAAGGAAUACCACAAAGUCACAUUGCACAACAAACCUCAUGCAAGAGAUUUAUUGGGAAGGGAAAAUCAGUUGGCUGCCUCUGCUCAGGCAACAAGCAGCAGGGGACUGAGCAGAAGGGAGGGUUUAUACAGGGUUUCUGGUGGCCGGGGUGGGGGUGGGGGACAGAGCUUUCCAGGGUGGCCUGUCAUUGAUGGAAUUUUUGUGAUAGAGAUAUUUGGCUUAGAGCAAUUAACAAGCAGCAAAGUGAGAGAAACUAAUAAGACAAUGAGUGAGGCCAAAAACGGUGGUCCUUUCUCUAGAUGUUUAAGUUUGGCCCUAAUAUCGGAGAAACUCUGGAAGAAGGAGUCGUUUUCCAUCUGGGGUCUCUGGAUCCAGAUUGCUAUACUGUAAGACAGGUGUAUUUGUAAGGUGGUCUAAAACUUGAGACAGGUUUUCAUGUUUGUCCUGGAUGAUCUCCUGGGGCUCAUUUGGUUUGUUUGUUUGCUUUAUAAUUGACCACCUUGUGGAGACUGGGCAGGAGGCAAUUUAUAAGUUGGUCUCUAGCUAAAAUGCCCCAGAAUUGUGUAGUUCCAUUCAGAACCCUGUCUGGUUCUUUGUCAGCCCAGACUGGGUGGGCAGCAUUAGUUUGGUGGGUUUUGUCUACAUGUGCCCUAGGCUGGCCCCAGACCUAUCUAUGCUGGGGGAGAGAAGGUUGCGGGUGAGGAGCGUGUAGAAGUCAUGGAAGGUGAGGCUGAUGACACUGGGACUCUUUAAUAAAAGAGGGAUUAGUGAUGUGAGAGCCCAACCUCUCCUCUACCUGAGAGAGAUCACUGAAUAAGGAGACACAUGCUCUUACCAUGCCAUCCACCCCAGCAACCCCACCCCCACCCUCACAAAGGGAGAACUGGGGAGAGGUUAGGCCGGCUAUAGGGGGUGUAGAGGAAGUCCCAUGAUAGACCUGAAGAAGCUGCAGGAUUAUAGCCCUAAGGGUGGUGGGAUGGCGGCAAGUGAAGAGGGCAAGCCACAGCCUUAAAGACUGUGGCUGAGGUCACCUCUGCUUCCAAGAGUACUAAAGGGCUGCCGGACACCCAGUGGUCACUUCGUCGGACACAGGGAAAUGUUUACAUCAAAGAAGGUGCUUACCUAACUGCAGCUGGUGGGCGGGGUGCUGAGCGAUCGAGUCUGUUGUAGGUGGACUGGACGGCUCAGACCACUAGGGGGAGCAAGGCACCAGGAGAGUCUAUCCGAGUCAGAGCAAAUGUGUGUUACAGCUCAGCUCCACUGGGGAAGGUUUCCCCAAUACAAGUGUAGCAGCGGGACGGUUUUCCGAAUGCAAGACUAACGGCUCUGCUUUGGUGGCGAGGUGACAGGAAAGGUUUCCCUAGCUCUUUUACGGUACAGUGCAUAGCUAUCAUGGCAUCUGGUCUGUGACAGCUCUCAAUAGAAGGGUGGCUUGAUAACAUUUUUGGCCGUUCAAUGGGAUUGUUAAACACAUUCAUGUUCACCUCUCAUAAUGUUCAAGGCAAGGCAUUUUCUGUUAGAGAAGAUGAAAACCCCAACCCAACCAAACACAAACACCUCCCAAACAGGAAUAUGUCCGCAAAAUAUUGAACAGUUAAAUAAAUGGCGUCACUUUUAGUUACACUGACUGUAAUCGGUGAACUUCUCUGAGGCUUUUAUAACAAUAAUAUGAAUAUAUAUGCAUAUAUAUAAAGAGAUGCGCAUCAUUUGGGAACAUACUUCAAAUUUAUAGUGUUUAUUUUGUCAGGAAAGAGACUAUACAUGCAUGAAAGUAAAUAUUAUGAACAAUGACAAAAUGUACAUAAAGAACACAGAGACAUGUGGGGCAGCGCGGGAGGAGAAUUGAACUUUCGCUCCUGGUCUGAGAAACUGAGAUUCUGAGGUGGGAGCGCCACCUAGCACGUCCGCACUACCUGCCCCGACCUGUAGAGGGCGCAGCGGAUAUAAACUCCAGUUGCAGAGUGAAGCCCUUCGCGGUCUCUCCCCACCCCACCCCCCAGUGCAGACCAGUGCGCAUGCGCACAAGGAAGGCUCGCGCCCAACAGUCCUCAGGUCGUUAUUUGGGUGCUGAAGGCACAAGGGGUCAGAUCUGGGUUGAAGACACCCUGCCCUAGGUACCAGCUGGAGAUGUUUUGUCCCUUCCAGGACGCUGGAGGCGGAGAGAGUCACUUGAGGGAGUUUCUGCUGUUCUUGCUGAUGAUUUUGCUACUUUGCUUACAGGUGUUGGUAAUUUUUACUUUCCUUCUUGCAACUGUCUGCUCCCUUUCCCAGAUUUCAAAAGUCAGUAGUUUUAUCUCCACAAAUAAGGAGUCUCUGAAUCUGGUGUGGCCAGACUGGACUUUCGCUGUCCCAGAAUCCAAGUCGGUUAGUUUUAUGUCUAAACCAUCAGUACCUAAAAACUCCUUUCCCGGGCUUCCUUCGGUUAGCCCUUCCUUUUAGAUUCUCAAGUGAGCAAUGCCUAGAAUCAGACACAGCUUGCAACUGUCCUCUCUCCUUCCCCAGACUUCAGCUAAGUCCUGCGUUUUAUCUCCUGGGUAUCCUCAAGUCCGGCAGCUUCCCUGGGGGUUCAGAAUCCCAGUACAGAACUUGCCUGACCCUAGUGCAGAAGAGUCAGACGUUUGCCCAAUUAUCCACUCUCUUUUUCCUCCAAGACAUUUUUUUACACAAAAAACCCUAAAUACAGUGAAUUCUUAAAAACUGGAGUAGAGGUGGGGAGACAGUCCAAAGACCUUAAAAAACUAAAACUAAACUUAUAUAUAAAAAAAAAAGGGGGGGGUGGUGGUGCUGGAGAGAUGGCUCAGUGGUUAAGAGCACUGACCGCUCUUCCAAAGGUCCUGAUUUCAAAUCCCAGCAACCACAUGGCGGCUCACAACCAUCUGUAAUGAGAUCUGACGCCCUCUUCUGGUGUGUGUCUGAAGAUAGCUACAGUGUACUUACAUAUAAUAAAUGAAUAAAGCUUAAAAAAAAAAAAAAAAGCCAGCUCAGCUCUGACUCCCCAGCCUGACCUGGCAUGACUGAGGCUCAGGUUGUCUAAUCACAUAAGAACUCUGGGCUUUCUUUCUCCUGAUGGAGUUGAUAUCAGCUGUGUGAAGAAGACUGAAACCGAAACCGCCGUGUGGUGAAAGUAUUAAAUGUGAGCACUUUAGCUGGUGUUUUAGCCAGUGACUAGGAUGAUGUUUUCCUUAGUAUUAAUGGUUAGCAUUGAAAACACAGGGUUCCCUUCUGUUUUCAUGCACAGAAUCAGUUCACUUUGACCAUGUUCUUUCCCACACUGCUCAGCUUUUCUCCCUUUGCUUCUCCCCAGCCAAAUUUCCAUCUUACAUGUUCAUGCAUGUGGAUGUGUGUGCAUAUACAUAUAUGUGUGUGUACAUAUAUUUAAAUGUAGAUUCCCCCUUGAGUUUCUUCUGCCCACAGUACUAUCUCUUGUUACCCCCUCCAGCCUAGCAGACCCACUCUCCCUCGGAUACAAUCCCCAUUCUGCUUCCUUGCCGGUUAUGUCACCUUAGUAUUUGAAGCCAGGCUGAGUUUUAUCAGGGAUACAGAAGUUCUGUCCAUUCCCAGUUUGGGGCAUUGCUUAUUGGUGGAGACUGCUGCCUUGUAUCUAUUUCAGGUUAUGGAAAUGGGGAGAGGGAAAAUCGAGGUAGUUCUUAGGAGGUGUAAAAGUUGAACAGCAAAAGGUGGAGCAGAGAGAAAGGGCCAUGUGGAUUGGCUUCCAUCAUAAAGACACCUUCAUUCCCUGAGGAGAAGGGUAACACGCAACUCAGCUAACCACAAUCCAAUGUAACAGGUAGAGAACCUGGCUCCAGUGGACAACGGCUGCCCGGGACCCAUUUUGCUGUUUUCGGAAUUCUUUUCUGAAAGGUGAGCAGGCUGCCCAGUAUACAACCUCACAGCUGGGGGAAACUGGCUCUCACCUGUAUCUGGAAGUGUGGGGAUGCUGACUGCACAGGCUCAUAGAUGCAAUGAGGACCACCUGUACAUAAGGCUUCCUAAGUCAGCUGACUCUGAUCCCAUCAUUACAAUGAGUUACCAUGACUGCUUCAAACAUGAGAUCCACCAUCUCUCUGGGUCUUCGGCUGCCUGUCCUCAGUCUUGCCCAUGGGACCUGUGUGGUUUAUCCUAUGAGAAGAGAAGACUCUGCCCUCCGGUGUGGCGCAACCUGCAAACCAGUAAUGAUGUACGCAAUGCAACAGAAAAGAAUAAAUCACAGGAGAAAGCUGCACGGGUGAGCACUUCCUGAGAUCUGAAUUCGGUGUCUGGGAUCUCUCUGAAUCUAGAAAUAAGUCACCUGGUUGUGGCUUACACCUGUCAGAUCCCAAGAAAAGCAGCCAGUUCUGAGAGUUUCAGGUCUCGAAACAAGAACAUUCAGGAGCACUCUGUAGGGAAGGAACUGUGUUCCCCUGAAGAUCAUCAGAAGCAUUCGAAGUACGUGCAAACACUUGAAAGUGCACAUGUGCGAGCUCUUGGGUGUGCACACAGGCAAGUGCUGCUCCAUAGAGGAAAAGUGCAGGGAGAAUGAACUCCCCUGGCUAUGUAAAUGUUUCAUGUGUACAGCUUUUAGGUGUGAUCUCUAUAGCAUGUUCACAUAUGACCUAUGACAGCUGACUCUUGCCAUCCACAAUCAAGCAGAACUGCAAGUUUGAAGAAUCACGUUUAAUAACAAAGUUUACAAAUGUUUUUAAAGCCCUCAGCACUGGAACACGCACACUCACGUGUGCUCAGAGACCGAAGAGAUUGAAUGGCUUGACUCUGCGGAGAGAAAGACUUGGCUGCCGAGCUUCUAAGAGGCAGAGGAGAGGCCCCGCUGUCGGGGAGGUCAUAUUUGCUUACAUGGAUUUAGCCUAUGGUGAGCAGCCCCCGUUCCUCCUGAAUGUAGAAAAGCUCUCCCCAGUCUCCGUGGGACAAUAAUCGGGGCCUCUGUUUUGCUCUGGGAUAAUCACAUAUAUUAUGAUUACACUUCUCUCACCUGCCAAGAGAAAACUUGUCACAGUUGCCUGGGGCUCUCAAUCCCACUCUGUCAUAGCACACCUCAAUGAAGCCCCACCUGCCUCAGUGGAUGAUUCUCGUCCCCUCACUUAGGGCCUGGGUGUGGUUUGUUUCACAACAGUCCCUGGCUUGUUGGGAGUGACCAAUGAGUCCAAGCUCUCUCUCCAGUGGUCUUGACUUCCUCAUUUCUGAUUGGACACACUGCUCCGCUCCCUUUAUCCCAGAGUCUCUUCCGUCUCUGCCAAGGACUGCACACUGUGUGGAUGUGUAUGAAGCCCUUAGAUGAUGUACUCCAGCUCCUCUGCCAAGGAGGAGCUCAGAACAGGACCAAAGGGAACUGAAUCCUCCUCCACUUAGAAUUAGUCAACGAGCCCACCUUCCUCCUCAUGCCUGCCUGUCUGCCUUCUUUUCCUGUGAGACGUGUCUCACUCUCUAUCCAAGGCUGGCCAUGAACUUGUAGAAAGCCUCUGUUUGCAAAUGGCUGGGAUUACCGGCAUUAGUCACCACUAGAAUGGAUAUUUCUGGACAUUGGGUUAAAGCAAAAUUGUUGAUUCAAGGGUCUCUGAAAAUGAACCAAACACAGUCAUCCAAUCCAGUGUGUCCAGGCCUCGCCACGCACUGUUCCCUCUGUGAAGUGACAUGAACAGCUGCUGACCCUGGAUAUGUUCUUGGAGUGAGUGUCACAGGAAGUCAAGAGGUAAGAUAAUGUCAGAUCAGGGAGGAAUUCUCGUUCUUUACCAGUGUCCCACACAAGACUCUGCGUGUUUCUACCCCUCUCUGAGUUGUCCUUCAGGCAAAUGGAGGACCUGUGUCCACAGAUCAUGAUCACAGGGAAAAGGACUUUGAUAGUCAGAACUGCAAUGGACAACCGAGCCCUGUGUCACUAAAGACCAGGCAGCCUGGGAUGGAAAUGCUAAGUCCUUGAGAUUCCCUGCAUGAGCCCCUCUUUGCCAUAAUGACCUGAAGUAGGCUGAAAUUUUUUUCUCCAAGUCAAGCCAAGGCUGACCGGGAGCUGUAACUAUGGACUUUGCAUCAGCCUGAGUGGAUGAAGCAAUAUUUUUGGAUUUGACUGUGAAGUGAUUCUAAAGGAACUUAUGUGCGGGUUCCUGGACUCAGUGGCAAUGUGAAGCCAUCAGAGCUUCACUGGAAGAAGCAGUGUAGGAGCAGACACUCCCGCUGCGUCUCCCCCGAGAUACACGCUUUCUUUAUCUUUAGCUUUCUUCAUCAGAUUUCCAAGCUGGGUGGCCUCUGGACUCUGAGGAGUAAGCUUGUAUUUCACUAGGCUGUUGGGAUUCUCAGAUUGAGACUCACAAAAGUGGCUUCCCUUGGUCUGUGCCUUUUGGACAAGAACUACGUCAAACCACCAGUAUUUCAGAGCUUCUGUCUUGCAGAAAGCCUGCUGUAGGAAUGCUCAGGCAUA